AGUUAAUGAACUUGUUUAAGUGUAUAUUUUGAAAAUAUAAUAAAGGUAUUUAAAUUUCCUAUUGACUU
RNAcentral lists this transfer RNA (68 nucleotides) under Limonius minutus. Its description in RNAcentral is "tRNA-Ser". Lineage: Eukaryota; Metazoa; Arthropoda; Insecta; Coleoptera; Elateridae. The record is from RNAcentral.